RNAcentral lists this ribosomal RNA (303 nucleotides) under uncultured bacterium. RNAcentral's name for it is "bacterial SSU rRNA". It matches the Rfam family "Bacterial small subunit ribosomal RNA", at positions 355 to 675 of the family's 1533-position model. The record is from RNAcentral.
UGGGGGAUAUUGCACAAUGGGGGAAACCCUGAUGCAGCAACGCCGCGUGAGGGAAGACGGUUUUCGGAUUGUAAACCUCUGUCAUCGGUGACGAAAAGGACGGUAGCCGAUGAGGAAGCUCCGGCUAACUACGUGCCAGCAGCCGCGGUAAUACGUAGGGAGCGAGCGUUGUCCGGAAUUACUGGGUGUAAAGGGUGCGUAGGCGGGAGCGCAAGUCAGACGUGAAACCUACCGGCUUAACUGGUAGCCUGCGUUUGAAACUGCGAUUCUUGAGUGAAGUAGAGGUAAGCGGAAUUCCCGGUG